GACGAACGCUGGCGGCGUGCUUAACACAUGCAAGUCGAACGGUAAGGCCCUUCGGGGUACACGAGUGGCGAACGGGUGAGUAACACGUGGGUGAUCUGCCCUGCACUUCGGGAUAAGCCUGGGAAACUGGGUCUAAUACCGGAUAGGACCACUGCCUGCAUGGGUGGUGGUGGAAAGCUUUUGCGGUGUGGGAUGGGCCCGCGGCCUAUCAGCUUGUUGGUGGGGUGAUGGCCUACCAAGGCGACGACGGGUAGCCGGCCUGAGAGGGUGACCGGCCACACUGGGACUGAGAUACGGCACAGACUCCUACGGGAGGCAGCAGUGGGGAAUAUGGCACAAUGGGCGCAAGCCUGAUGCAGCGACGCCGCGUGAGGGAUGACGGCCUUCGGGUUGUAAACCUCUUUCAGCACCGACGAAGCGCAAGUGACGGUAGGUGCAGAAGAAGGACCGGCCAACUACGUGCCAGCCGCCGCCGUAA
RNAcentral lists this ribosomal RNA (478 nucleotides) under uncultured bacterium. RNAcentral's name for it is "partial 16S ribosomal RNA". It matches the Rfam family "Bacterial small subunit ribosomal RNA", at positions 28 to 523 of the family's 1533-position model. The record is from RNAcentral.